RNAcentral lists this ribosomal RNA (253 nucleotides) under uncultured bacterium. RNAcentral describes it as "partial 16S ribosomal RNA". It matches the Rfam family "Bacterial small subunit ribosomal RNA", at positions 524 to 776 of the family's 1533-position model. The record is from RNAcentral.
UACGUAGGGUGCAAGCGUUGUCCGGAAUUAUUGGGCGUAAAGAGCUCGUAGGCGGUUUGUCGCGUCUGCUGUGAAAACUCGGGGCUUAACCCCGGGCCUGCAGUGGGUACGGGCAGACUAGAGUGCGGUAGGGGAGAUCGGAAUUCCUGGUGUAGCGGUGAAAUGCGCAGAUAUCAGGAGGAACACCGGUGGCGAAGGCGGAUCUCUGGGCCGUAACUGACGCUGAGGAGCGAAAGCAUGGGGAGCGAACAGG